UACGUAGGGUGCAAGCGUUAAUCGGAAUUACUGGGCGUAAAGCGUGCGCAGGCGGUUAUGUAAGACAGGUGUGAAAUCCCCGGGCUCAACCUGGGAACUGCAUCUGUGACUGCAUAGCUAGAGUACGGUAGAGGGGGAUGGAAUUCCGCGUGUAGCGGUGAAAUGCGUAGAUAUGCGGAGGAACACCGAUGGCGAAGGCAAUCCCCUGGACCUGUACUGACGCUCAUGCACGAAAGCGUGGGGAGCAAACAGG
This 253-nucleotide ribosomal RNA is filed under the name uncultured bacterium. RNAcentral describes it as "partial 16S ribosomal RNA". It matches the Rfam family "Bacterial small subunit ribosomal RNA", at positions 524 to 776 of the family's 1533-position model. The record is from RNAcentral.